AGGAGAGAGAGAGGGGGAGGGAGGAAUUAUUUAAUUUGUGUGAGGGUAAAUUAGUAAUUUUACAUUCUAGUCCGACCUAGGCUUAGUCCGGGACAAAUUGUCCCACCCUCAACCUCGGGACAGCAUAGUCCCCCAUACUCCGGACUAUUAGUCCGAUCCGACUAAUAGUCCGGAGCCAUUUUUGGUAAACAAACGCCGGACUGGACAACGAGUCCAGUCCAGUCCGGCCUAAUCCGGUGAAACAAACGCGCCCUAAG
Molecule: long non-coding RNA, 257 nt
Filed under: Actinidia chinensis (golden kiwifruit)
Lineage: Eukaryota; Viridiplantae; Streptophyta; Magnoliopsida; Ericales; Actinidiaceae
Description: long non-coding RNA (ACHI_LNC003284)
Source: RNAcentral